This 476-nucleotide long non-coding RNA is filed under the name Homo sapiens (human). RNAcentral's name for it is "HSALNT0105546". Lineage: Eukaryota; Metazoa; Chordata; Mammalia; Primates; Hominidae. The record is from RNAcentral.
CGGAGGCAGAGAAUUGCUUGAACCCGGGAGGCGGAGGUUGCAGUGAGCCGAGAUGGCAACUGCACUCCGACAGAGUCUCAAAAAAUAUAUAUAUAUAGUAUUGUGGAUACGUACUUUUAAAAAUCCUUACGUUUUAGAGAUACAAAAAUAUUUAUGAAUAAAAUGAUAUGACGCCUGGGUUUUGCUUCAAAACGAUGGUGGGAGAGGAAUGUGGAUGAAAUAAAAUUGAUUAUGAGUUGUGGUUGCUGGGGAAUUGGGGUCACGGGGGUUCAUUAGAACCUCCUAUCAGAUGUGGUUCAGAAGCCUCAGACCUGGGAGCUGGCUAGAAAUGCAGAAUCUCGGCUCCACCCCAAACCUACUGAGUCAGGAUCUGUAUUUUAAUCAAAUAAAAUGCCCAGGGGAUUCCUGAGCACACUGAAGUGUGAGAAGCGCUGGCUUACUCUGUUCAAUUCUUUCCUGCAUGUUUGACAUUUUCC